ACCGACGUCUUCUCGCGUUUGAGCCGUCGCUCCAUCAUCAUCAUUUUGGACUGCGACUUACACUGAGCUCCUGCUUUCUUCGACUGAAGAACACUUCAAAGCAUUCAUUUAUUCAUUAUAAUGCUGCAGCAAUGAAAACAUUGGUCAGAAAAACAGCCAGUAAAUCGGAACAAUCCAGAAUCAGCACAGAUGCUGCCAGAAGAAGAUGGAGAUGUUUUCAGGGAGAAAAUCCAGACCUAGACAACCGAACUGUACCAAAUGCUGAGGUGAAGGCCUGAGUAGUUGCCAAAAAUGCUAAAGCCUACGGACUGAGCAGCUGUGAGUAUGAAAACUCAAGCAUUGUUUUUAAAAGCUGAAGCAUGCCUUUAGCUGUUAAGCUACUAAUGAAGGACACUACUCAAGCAUCUCCAAUGGAAAGCCAGAUAACAGCACUUAGUCAUAAAUUACUCAAGUCAAUUAAUGGUCAAUAAAUUACUUUCAAACUUGAGGUUUCGGGACAAUGAGUGGUUUCCCUACCUCAGAAAUGUAGUAUAAAAAUAAACAGAUAUGCAUUUGCCUUUG
Stegostoma tigrinum is the source of this 561-nucleotide long non-coding RNA. RefSeq lists it as uncharacterized. The transcript has 4 exons. The record is from RefSeq and is a predicted model, not a curated record. NCBI's taxonomy places the organism in Eukaryota, Metazoa, Chordata, Chondrichthyes, Orectolobiformes, Stegostomatidae.